CGGGGUAUAGCUCAGCCCGGUAGAGUACGCGUCUGGGGGGCGUGUGGUCGCAAGUUCGAAUCUUGUUGCCCCGACAA
This 77-nucleotide transfer RNA is filed under the name Bacteroides sp. OM08-11. Its description in RNAcentral is "tRNA-Pro". It matches the Rfam family "tRNA". From Rfam's summary of the family: Transfer RNA (tRNA) molecules are approximately 80 nucleotides in length. Their secondary structure includes four short double-helical elements and three loops (D, anti-codon, and T loops). The record is from RNAcentral. Lineage: Bacteria; Pseudomonadati; Bacteroidota; Bacteroidia; Bacteroidales; Bacteroidaceae.